UCCGCGCCUUCACGCACUCUUGGAAGGAUUCUUCUGACGAUCCACCGCAGCUCCAUCGUGACGACCAUCUCGAAGCCAUCCCAGUCUUCAAAACGGUUCCUUUGGUGACACGUUGAGCCAGGCGGUUUCUUCAGCACGAAGAUUAUUCUCAUAGGCCAAGAACGGUAUGUGCUGAUUGAUCAUCUGGACCACCUUAAAGGGAAAAACUUUGUAGUAGUUUGCAAUUGAAAGAAAUUGUUUACGUCACUCGCCCUGGAACUGGAACACGCCAGUCGUUCCAUUAUGCAAUAGAGAUACACGCUUUAGAUCCAGACUCUGACACCAAGAGGACUCCAGGAGAGCACUAAAAUCCGGGAUAUCGUCUGCUUUUUUAGAAACUAUUUGUAUUGUGAAAAAUGUUGUGAGGUAAACAUCGUCCAAGCCUCGACCCUGCUGACCUUCCAGUCUCUGAACCGCUGCCUCUUCCUUUCCAGACUAAGCUCCGGACCAAAUGAACGACAACGCUCGCUCGGCGUUCCGCCGCUUUACAAGCUAGCCGCGGGAGAGUUCAAUUUUCCCGAGAGAUCCCAUUUUGACGCGAUCUAUUCUGAGUUUCCGCAGGUAGCCGGGUCACCUCUACGGGCUGCGGCAUGUCGGCGGAGGAGACGUCGCGGCCGAGGAAACCCUGAAACUGCACCAAGUCUCCGUGUCUCAAGCUGAGAGGAGAACUCGUCGGUCAAAGUCCCUUCCUGACCAAACAUGGCUGCCUCAAGUACACGUGGAGCGUUUUCCGGGAGAAGAAAGGGAGAAAGAAAGGUCAGUAUGCGACCAAGUUUGUCUUCAAAAUGCUAAUCCAUCAGUAUUAUUAAUGCGCAAGUGUCGUUCUAGAUAAGAAUUCAUUAAUAAACAUAUCUCUAGUAUGUACCACUUCACAGAACUGAUAACAUACCCGUCCCGCGAGAGGGUACAUCUUUUUUGCCCUAUGUUUUAUGCGUUAAAUGAAAAACAACCCUAGGUGCGAUUGCACCUUGUUUGUCUCAACGUGCCCUGCGAUUGGCUGGCGACCGGUUCGGGGUGCACCCCGCCUCCUGCCCCGUUGACAGCUGGGAUAGGCUCCGGCGCCCCCCCCCCCCCAAGAACCUCGUGAGGAUAAGCGGCAAAGAAAAUGGAUGGAUGGAUGUAAUUAUCUAGACAAGCAAGCCAGCUACGAAAUUCGCCGUCAACGGCUUUUUACAUCAGCGAGAGUGUACUCGGAAGCGUACUGAGUCCAUCUCUGGUUGUUUUGGUCCACAUCGUGGGGGGUGGGGGAGUGUGAAACCCACCACGGUGCCAUUAAAAACUGACUAAAAAGCGCCGUUACAUAGCUAACUAACCGUGGAGAUGACGAACAGGAAGCGGACCGGCUGUCUUCAGCCGCCGACGGCGAAGUGAUGCGCAGGGGCCGACAUAUGGAAACACUUUGCUUCCCCCGUCAACUACCGCAUAACACGCAUUACACGCAGAUGCCGGCACACACACACCCUCGAUUCGAGCUGCAAACGAAUACGUCGUAAAACAGGUUAGCGGUCGCGUAACACGCCGACGUUAGCUAGUGCCUCAACUUUUGGCAGGCCAGAAACGGCGGGACAAAAUGUCGAUAUUUGCGUCUGAUACUUUAUUGACACAAUAGAUUGGAAUAUGGAUACUGUUAUACAUACAGUGUUGGUAUGCCAAAUAUGAGUGUAGUCAUUGGUGUUAAGGA
Syngnathoides biaculeatus (alligator pipefish) is the source of this 1720-nucleotide long non-coding RNA. RefSeq lists it as uncharacterized. Lineage: Eukaryota; Metazoa; Chordata; Actinopteri; Syngnathiformes; Syngnathidae. The record is from RefSeq and is a predicted model, not a curated record. The transcript is spliced from 3 exons.